CGGCGUGCCUAACACAUGCAAGUCGAACGGGGUCAGUUGCUUCGGUGAUUGACUUAGUGGCGAACGGGUGAGUAACGCGUGAGGAACCUGCCUUUCAGUGGGGGACAACAGUUGGAAACGACUGCUAAUACCGCAUAAUGCAGCUAGACCGCAUGGUCUUGCUGCCAAAGCUUUAUGUGCUGAAAGAUGGCCUCGCGUCUGAUUAGCUAGUUGGUGGGGUAACGGCUCACCAAGGCGACGAUCAGUAGCCGGUCUGAGAGGAUGAACGGCCACAUUGGGACUGAGAUACGGCCCAGACUCCUACGGGAGGCAGCAGUGGGGAAUAUUGGGCAAUGGGGGAAACCCUGACCCAGCAACGCCGCGUGAAGGAAGAAGGCCUUCGGGUUGUAAACUUCUUUUACCAGGGACGAAGAACGUGACGGUACCUGGAGAAAAAGCAACGGCUAACUACGUGCCAGCAGCCGCGGUAAUACGUAGGUUGCAAGCGUUGUCCGGAUUUACUGGGUGUAAAGGGCGUGUAGGCGGAGAUGCAAGUUGGGAGUGAAAUCCCGGGACUCAACCCCGGAACUGCUCUCACAACUGUAUCCCUUGAGUAUCGGAGAGGCAAGCGGAAUUCCUAGUGUAGCGGUGAAAUGCGUAGAUAUAUGGAGGAACACCAGUGGCGAAGGCGACGUUCUGGGCCGCAACUGACGCUCAGUCCCGAAAGCGUGGGGAGCAAAUAGGAUUAGAUACCCUAGUAGUUCACGCCGUAAACGAUGAGUACUAAGUGUUGGGGGUCAGACCCCAGUGCUGGAGUUAACGCAAUAAGUACUCCGCCUGAGUAGUACGUUCGCAAGAAUGAAACUCAAAGGAAUUGACGGGGGCCCGCACAAGCGGUGGAGUAUGUGGUUUAAUUCGAAGCAACGCGAAGAACCUUACCAGGUCUUGACAUACCGUCAAAUGUCCCAGAGAUGGGAAGAUAGCUAUGGCGGAUACAGGUGGUGCAUGGUUGUCGUCAGCUCGUGUCGUGAGAUGUUGGGUUAAGUCCCGCAACGAGCGCAACCCCUGUUGCCAGUUGCCAGCAUUAGGUUGGGGACUCUGGCGAGACUGCCUCUGCAAGGAGGAGGAAGGCGGGGAUGACGUCAAAUCAUCAUGCCCCUUAUGACCUGGGCUACACACGUGCUACAAUGGACGGAUCAGAGGGAAGCGAAAUCGCGAGAUGGAGCGAAACCCAGAAACCCGUUCUCAGUUCGGACUGCAGUCUGCAACUCGACUGCACGAAGCUGGAAUCGCUAGUAAUCGCGAAUCAGAAUGCCGCGGUGAAUACGUUCUCGGGCCUU
RNAcentral lists this ribosomal RNA (1319 nucleotides) under uncultured bacterium. Its description in RNAcentral is "partial 16S ribosomal RNA". It matches the Rfam family "Bacterial small subunit ribosomal RNA", at positions 40 to 1382 of the family's 1533-position model. The record is from RNAcentral.